AACGAACGCUGGCGGCAUGCCUAACACAUGCAAGUCGAACGAGACCUCCGGGUCUAGUGGCGCACGGGUGCGUCACGCGUGGGAACCUGCCCUUAGGUUCGGAAUAACUCCCCGAAAGGGGUGCUAAUACCGGAUAAUGUCUUCGGACCAAAGAUUUAUCGCCUUUGGAUGGGCCCGCGUUGGAUUAGCUUGUUGGUAGGGUAAAAGCCUACCAAGGCGACGAUCCAUAGCUGGUCUGAGAGGAUGAUCAGCGACACUGGGACUAAGACACGGCCCAGACUCCUACGGGAGGCAGCAGAGGGGAAUAUUGGACAAUGGGCGGAGGCAUGAUGCAGCAAUGCCGCGUGAGUGAUGAAGGCCUGAGGGUUGUAAAGCUCUUUUACCCGGGAUGGUAAUGACAGUACCGGAAGAAUAAGCUCCGGCUAACUCCGUG
This 433-nucleotide ribosomal RNA is filed under the name uncultured bacterium. RNAcentral's name for it is "partial 16S ribosomal RNA". It matches the Rfam family "Bacterial small subunit ribosomal RNA", at positions 29 to 507 of the family's 1533-position model. The record is from RNAcentral.